GGGUGAGUAACGCGUGAGUAACCUGCCUUCAAGAGGGGGAUAACAUUCUGAAAAGAAUGCUAAUACCGCAUGAUAUAUCGGAAUCACAUGAUUUUGAUAUCAAAGAUUUUAUCGCUUGAAGAUGGACUCGCGUCCGAUUAGUUAGUUGGUGAGGUAACGGCUCACCAAGACCGCGAUCGGUAGCCGGACUGAGAGGUUGAACGGCCACAUUGGGACUGAGACACGGCCCAGACUCCUACGGGAGGCAGCAGUGGGGGAUAUUGCGCAAUGGGGGCAACCCUGACGCAGCAACGCCGCGUGAAGGAUGAAGGUUUUCGGAUUGUAAACUUCUUUUAUUAAGGACGAAACUUGACGGUACUUAAUGAAUAAGCUCCGGCUAACUACGUGCCAGCAGCCGCGGUAAUACGUAGGGAGCAAGCGUUGUCCGGAUUUACUGGGUGUAAAGGGUGCGUAGGCGGCUUUGCAAGUCAGAUGUGAAAUCUAUGGGCUCAACCCAUAAACUGCAUUUGAAACUGUAGAGCUUGAGUGAAGUAGAGGCAGGCGGAAUUCCCCGUGUAGCGGUGAAAUGCGUAGAGAUGGGGAGGAACACCAGUGGCGAAGGCGGCCUGCUGGGCUUUAACUGACGCUGAGGCACGAAAGCGUGGGUAGCAAACAGGAUUAGAUACCCUGGUAGUCCACGCUGUAAACGAUGAUUACUAGGUGUGGGGGGUCUGACCCCUUCCGUGCCGGAG
RNAcentral lists this ribosomal RNA (731 nucleotides) under uncultured bacterium. RNAcentral describes it as "bacterial SSU rRNA". It matches the Rfam family "Bacterial small subunit ribosomal RNA", at positions 104 to 851 of the family's 1533-position model. The record is from RNAcentral.